AAGUACAGAUUAGAGCUGCUAAUUGUCACCUUUUGCUAGGUGAAGUAGAAAAUGUUCAGCGGUGCUAUAACAAGUGCUUGGAAUCAAGUAAAGUUGUUUGUUUGGAUCGGAGAGUAACAGUUGAAGUAGCUGAAGGUUUACAGAAAGCUCAGGAAGUGGCGAAGUGUAUGAAUGAUGCUGCUAAACUUUUGAAGGAAAGGACUUCUGAUGCAGGUGGUUCUGCUUUAGAACUACUUACAAAGGCAUUGUCAAAGAGCUUAUACUCAGAAAGAUUGCUCCAAAUGAAGGCCGAUGCUCUCUAUCUGCUGCAAAAGUAUGAUGCAGCAAUUCAGCUUUGUGACCAGAGUCUGAAUCUUGCAGAAAAGAAUUUUGUCUUGGCAAACAGUGUGAACAAUUCCAUGCAUAAUAGUUACUCAAGUGUAAAAAUAUGGAGAUGGUCAUUUAUAUCUAAGUGUUACUUUCGUUUGGG
RNAcentral lists this long non-coding RNA (469 nucleotides) under Lathyrus oleraceus (garden pea). Its description in RNAcentral is "Pisum sativum (pea) long non-coding RNA (PSAT_LNC031956)". Lineage: Eukaryota; Viridiplantae; Streptophyta; Magnoliopsida; Fabales; Fabaceae. The record is from RNAcentral.